GCACUUAGGCAGUCAGUAAGGAAAGCUUUAUUUUACUCUGGCUUCUCUCUUUAUCUUCCUUUUCCUGUUUUAUUUUUUUCAUUGACUGGAAAAGAUUUAUUUCCCUGCUUGAUGUGAUUAAACAUGUUUUGCCAAAUUGAUGCAUGAGAACCAGUUUCUAUGAGAAGUCUCUUCUGGAGAUGUAUAUCCAUGUAACUCUGUAUUUCCUCCCAUAUCUGACUGUUUGUUUCCAAUCUUUUGACUGCUUUCUUGCUUUUUAUGCCUUUAUCUUUGCUUAUUUGAAUUAGGUACUUCUCUGCUACCUUUCACCUGCUCUUUUUCUGUGCCAUUGUUUCCCUUGCUACCUUACCUAAAACCAGGCCCUAGAGAAACAGAAAGAAUACAUUGCCUGCCUUAGGAAUGAGCGAGAUAUGCUCAGAGAGGAGCUGGCUGACCUGCAGGAGACAGUGAAGACGGGAGAGAAACAUGGCUUAGUUAUAAUCCCCGAUGGCACUCCCAAUGGUGAUGUCAGUCAUGAACCAGUGGCUGGAGCCAUCACUGUUGUGUCUCAGGAAGCUGCUCAGGUCUUGGAGUCAGCAGGAGAAGGGCCAUUAGAUGUAAGGCUACGAAAACUUGCUGGAGAGAAGGAAGAACUACUGUCACAG
This 644-nucleotide long non-coding RNA is filed under the name Homo sapiens (human). Its description in RNAcentral is "non-protein coding lnc-EPM2AIP1-6:1". The record is from RNAcentral. Lineage: Eukaryota; Metazoa; Chordata; Mammalia; Primates; Hominidae.